UCUCCCUCCUGGCAGGGGAGAUACUGGGAUCAAGAAGGCAGUUCCCCCAUGGCGAGGCUCAGCCAUUGCACUCCGGCUGUGCUGACCCCUGCGAUUUCCCAAAAUGUGAGACUCUCAACUGCAUAAUUUUUUAAGGGGCAGGGGUGACCUAGCCCCAUA
This is a small nuclear RNA of 159 nucleotides. Its record names the gene U1. It matches the Rfam family "U1 spliceosomal RNA". From Rfam's summary of the family: U1 is a small nuclear RNA (snRNA) component of the spliceosome (involved in pre-mRNA splicing). Its 5' end forms complementary base pairs with the 5' splice junction, thus defining the 5' donor site of an intron. The record is from Ensembl.